CGCGCAGGCGGUUCUUUAAGUCUGGUGUAUAAACCUGGGGCUCAACUUCAGGAGGCACUGGAAACUGGGGAACUGGAGUGUAGGAGAGGAAAGUGGAAUUCCACGUGUAGCGGUGAAAUGCGUAGAGAUGUGGAGGAACACCAGUGGCGAAGGCGACUUUCUGGCCUAUAACUGACGCUGAGGCGCGAAAGCGUGGGGAGCAAACA
Molecule: ribosomal RNA, 206 nt
Filed under: uncultured bacterium
Lineage: Bacteria
Description: partial 16S ribosomal RNA
Rfam family: Bacterial small subunit ribosomal RNA
Source: RNAcentral